Molecule: ribosomal RNA, 326 nt
Filed under: uncultured eukaryote
Lineage: Eukaryota
Description: partial 18S ribosomal RNA
Rfam family: Eukaryotic small subunit ribosomal RNA
Source: RNAcentral
CCCUUAGAUGUUCUGGGCCGCACGCGCGCUACACUGAUGCAUUCAACAAGCCUAGCCUUGACCGAGAGGUCCGGGUAAUCUUUGAAACUGCAUCGUGAUGGGGCUAGAUUAUUGCAAUUAUUAAUCUUCAACGAGGAAUGCCUAGUAAGCGUGAUUCAUCAAAUCGCGUUGAUUACGUACCUGCCCUUUGUACACACCGCCCGUCGCUCCUACCGAUUGAAUGUGUUGGUGAGGAGCUCGGAUUGGCAGCAGUUGGUGGUUCGCCACCGGCUAUUGCUGAGAAGUCCUCCAAACCGCCCCAUUUAGAGGAAGGAGAAGUCGUAACA